CCUACGGGGGGCAGCAGUAGGGAAUAUUCCACAAUGAGCGAAAGCUUGAUGGAGCGACACCGCGUGCACGAUGAAGGUCUUCGGAUUGUAAAGUGCUGUUAUAAGGGAAGAACAUUUGCAAUAGGAAAUGAUUGCAGACUGACGGUACCUUGUCAGAAAGCGAUGGUUAACUAGGUGCCAGCAGCCGCGGUAAUACAUAGGUCGCAAGCGUUAUCCGGAAUUAUUGGGCGUAAAGCGUUCGUAGGCUGUUUGUUAAGUCUGGAGUUAAAUCCCGGGGCUCAACCCCGGCUCGCUUUGGAUACUAGCAAACUAGAGUUAGAUAGAGGUAUGCGGAAUGCGAUGUGAAGCGGUGAAAUGCAUAGAUAUAGGGAAGAACUCCGAAGGCGAAGGCAGCUUACUGGGUCUAUACUGACGCUGAGGGACGAAAGCGUGGGGAGCGAACAGGAUUAGAUACCCGAGUAGUC
This 464-nucleotide ribosomal RNA is filed under the name uncultured bacterium. RNAcentral's name for it is "partial 16S ribosomal RNA". It matches the Rfam family "Bacterial small subunit ribosomal RNA", at positions 338 to 795 of the family's 1533-position model. The record is from RNAcentral.